GAUAGGACAGAGGUGGAAGUGCAGUAAUGCAUGCAGCUGACUGUUACUAAUAGGUCGAAAGCUUGACCAAAU
This 72-nucleotide ribosomal RNA is filed under the name Lachnospiraceae bacterium. RNAcentral's name for it is "partial 23S ribosomal RNA". The record is from RNAcentral. Lineage: Bacteria; Bacillati; Bacillota; Clostridia; Lachnospirales; Lachnospiraceae.